AACGUACUCAGUUCGGAUUGUAGUCUGCAACUCGACUACAUGAAGCUGGAAUCGCUAGUAAUCGCGGAUCAGCAUGCCGCGGUGAAUACGUUCCCGGGUCUUGUACACACCGCCCGUCACACCAUGGGAGUCGGAAAUGCCCGAAGCCAGUGACCCAAGCGAUAUGCAGGGAGCUGUCGAAGGCAGGUCGGAUAACUGGGGUGAAGUCGUAACAAGGUAAC
Molecule: ribosomal RNA, 221 nt
Filed under: uncultured bacterium
Lineage: Bacteria
Description: partial 16S ribosomal RNA
Rfam family: Bacterial small subunit ribosomal RNA
Source: RNAcentral